RNAcentral lists this long non-coding RNA (772 nucleotides) under Monodelphis domestica (gray short-tailed opossum). RNAcentral describes it as "lncRNA (ENSMODG00000049345.1)". The record is from RNAcentral. Lineage: Eukaryota; Metazoa; Chordata; Mammalia; Didelphimorphia; Didelphidae.
CAAUCUUUUUUUUUACUAGCUUUAUAUUUCCAAACCAAUUUCUAAAUAUGACAUGUAGCAUUUUAAGUAUUACAUAUUAUAUUUAGCAGAUUACAUUUAGCAUAAUAUUAAUUUUCAACAUUAUACCUCCCAACCCCCACCUUACCCCAGACAGGGGAGGAAGGAAGCACUCCCAUUGGGCUGCUGGGCUAUGGGGUGAGUGAUGUGAGGAAUGUCCUCAGGUGAAUGGAGAGGGGCAGGGGAGUCUGGCUUUCUAAUAAUGAACUCUAGGGGGUGACUGCAGGCAUGUUCACAGAGAGGGCCCUGCAUGCCAUUUUUGGCACAAGUGCCAUAGAUUUGCCAUCAUUGGCUUAGGGAGACCAGGGAAGAAGGAUUCCGAGUUGGACUACCCUUAGAGUCUUACCUACAAUGGGAGAAACUUCUAAGGCAAAAGGGAAACAGACAGAGCAUUUACUAAAUGCAUACUCUGUGCCAACCACUGUGUCGUGUGCUGAGAAUACAAAAAAAGAAAUAAAACAAGGCAGUCCAUACUUUCAAGAAUUUUACAUUCUAAUAGGGGAAGAGAAGACACAAAGAAGAGGACCAAUGACGUCACCGUGCUAAGAAUGGGGACAAAAAAAGACCAUGAAAAGGACAUCUGACAUCCCUUCUGACCCCAAAUCUGUGAUCCUAUAACUGUGUCACUUUUGUGUUUAUAUCCUCAGUGCCCAGUGUAAUGCCUGGCAUGGAAUGAAUGCAGAAUAAAUGCUUAUUGAUUGGUUAACUGUUUCCA